CAUUUAUGUUUUGAUUCCGUGUGUGGAAUAUGGAUGACGGAUAACUUUGAGCCUGUUGAUUUGAUUAUUUACACGCAGUAUAAAUAACUUCUAGUCGUAUUAUCAGAGUGAAAGAAGGACAAAAGCAAUGAGAAGUUUCGAUAGUUCUAAUCUACUUUCGAUAGUCGACCUGUAAGUCAUCGUUUUACAAUAACACUGUAUCAAAAUGAGUGUUUCAUUUACAACAACGCCUAAACAAAAAGGUAAUUUGUACUUGGCAUCUUCUUUGUGCGAUGGAGUGGAAGAUAAUGACUUGAAACAAGUGACAACUCUUUUAACGAAAAAAGAUGCUGACCCAAAUGUAUUGAUGCCAUUGCAUGGAAUCACACCAUUUCAUCUGGUAAUAGGCAAUGACUCUGAAGCAUUUGCUGAAGAAGUGACAAAAUUAUUCUUACGACAUGGUGGAAAUCCUAAUGUUAGAUCAGUUGAUGGUAUGACACCUGUACAUGUAGCAGCAGCAUGGGGUCGGACUACAAUUCUUGAUCUUUUGCUGGCUAAUGGUGGAGAUCCACUUUACCUUGAUAAUGAUUAUUGUUCUCCCAUACACUAUGCUUUUCAAGGAGAGCAUCAUGAUGCUGUACACAUACUUACUAAAUAUUGUACAAAUGAUGAAGAAGAAGAUGAAAAACCAAAAUUUAAAAGAGAAUUAGAAAAAAUAUUAGUAAAUAAUGGCGAUGUAUUGGCAGAGUACAUUUUAUCAAAUGAUUCCAUAUAUAGUUCUACUACAGAUUCUUCUUUCAUUAGAAGUAGAAGUUCAAAUAUAAAUACAAGUGAUUAUAUGCCUGAAAGUAGUACAACAAAUUCAAUGUCAAUAAAUAAUAAAUUUAUAACUUUGAGGAAAGAAAAGAAAGAAACUAGAAAAAAUAAGUUUGAUUUGAAAAAAGAAACUGAUGAAGAAGAAAGGAUUCUGAUUAAUAAAAUCAUUGCUCAGUUAUCCAGUACCAUUACCAGUGACAUAGAUUCAAGCACAUCCAUAUUUCAAGAAUAUGAAAGUGAAUACUCUUCCAAUGAAGUCAGCCCACCAAAGCACAAACGAAUAUCAAUGACUUUCAAUAGACCAAAGAGGAAUAAUGAGUUCACUAAGCUGAAAGAGAAAUCUACUAAUAAUAAUCGUAGUUCAACUUUGCAAGUAAUCAAACAACAUAAUCAUGUUUCGUACUUGAAUAAUGAGGUACUGAAAAAUAAUUUGAAGAAAAUACCUAAUAUUUCAGAAAAAAAUAAUCUUACAAAGAAAAGUAUGCAAUCAUUGACAAAAAAACAUGUCACACCAAAUAAAUUUGAAACUUCAACUUUAACUCAAGAUAAUCUUUCGUAUACGAAUAAAUGGCUAGAUGAAACAAUCAUUAGUAGAUCACCAAAUUUAGUUGUUGAUACACUCUUACAUGAAAAAAAGUCAAAAAUGACAAAUACCCUGUUAGAAAAAAGAUCUUCUCCAACAUUUGUCAAAAUAUCAAAAAGAUCACCUUUGGUUACUCCUACAAAAGGUAGAAGCCCUCAAACUUUCAAUAAAUGCGUAACACCAGUCAAUCAAAUAUCAAAAUCAAAGAAGUACUUUACAACACCGUCUCAUUUAAAAACUGUUAAGAGAAAUUUGAAAAACUCAACAAAAACAGUUGUCUAUAUCUCAAAUAAACGAAAAGUAAAUUCAUCAGAAAGAAUAUCUACAUCAAAAAUAUCUAAUACUAAGGUGCCAUUGAAUCAUAUGAACAAUCAAACUAUAUUCAAAGGAAAUUCAACAUGUAGUAGGUCACAGGAUAUUGAUUGCAAGAAACUAAGUUUCAAGAAAGUAGCUAUGAAUUUGAAUGAUUGUAAGUAUGAUGAUGAAGAAGAUUUAAUUAAUGAAAGAAUAAAUAAUGUAACGACAAAUAGUAUCGAGAAUAAAUUAAAUGGGUGCCUUCCAUUUGAUAUUAAUGAAGAAUAUGAAAAACAACUUCCAAGAUCUCAUUAUGUUUCUGGUAUUGGUAUGUUGGAAUCAGGAAUAACAUCAAGAUCAAAUUCAAAAUCAGACAGUGAUAAAGAAAAUAGUUUAUCAAACAAUUCACAAAUAAUAGAAGCAAUUAUCGAAAAGAAUACUGCUGGGACUCUUCCAAAGAAUGAAUCUAGAAAAGAAAAAAUCAAUGAAGAACGUGAAAUUUCUCAACAUUUUGAAAAGCCUGCUGAUGCUUAUGGUAGUCCCACGUCUACAAUAGGUUCUAGCUUAUCAGUAUCGAGUGAUAGUUAUCAAUCAUUACCCAAACGAGACCACAUUACUGUCGAUAAUGCAGAUAAUGAUAAGAAUGUGGAUUUGGAAUCACCAUUAUUCCUAAGUAAUAAUAGUAUUUUUAAAGAUAGCAAGAUUAAAACUUCUCCAAAACAUGAGUUAGAUACAUUCCUUAAUAUAGAAGAAGAGUAUAAGUAUGAAGAUCCUGAAGAAGGCAUUAAUUUCUUAGAAAGAAGGCUAUGUGUUAGUCCACCUUGUGCUUCUUCUGACAUGAAUUCUUCGUACUAUUCCUGUAGUACUGCAAAAUCAGAACCAUUGCCUAAAGAAUUACUCAUGUUAGAUAAUAUAACUUUACGUGAAAGAUUACAAAAUUUGGGUGAUAAUCCUGGACCAAUCACAGAAACAACUCAUCGUUUGUACUUGAAACGCUUACAUAAGUUAGAAUCAACAAGCAAAAAAUCAAUACAUCAAAAUCAUGCUUUAUGCAUUCAAUCCAAGAAGUUGACCGAUUUUAACACUGAAAAUGAUAAUUUAAAAUCAUCAUUACUCUCUAUAGAAUGGAUACAAAAUUUAGAUGAUUAUGAAGCUAAUGAACAAAAAAUCUUUUUAGAAUUUCACAAUCCUAAUCCAUCACGAAAAUGGCGCGAAGGAACUACUAAAUGUUCCUUCAACUACCUUCUUCUUGACCCUCGAAUAACAGAAGAUCUUCCAAGGAGAGCAAAUACACUAAGUAUGUCGAAUAAAUGGAAAACUUUCCUAUCAGCAAUUUUCUAUGUUGGCAAAGGAAAACAAUCGAGACCUUAUGCUCAUCUUUACGAUGCUUUUAAGAUUUGGGUUUCCAAAAAUCAACAUGAUACAAGUGAAAAAAUUCAAAGAAUUCUUGACAUUUGGAAUGAUGGCAGGGGAGUUGUGGUUCUACAUGUAUUUCAUAAUACCAUUCCUGCUGAGGCCUACACUAGAGAAGCAGCAAUGAUUGAAGCACUAGGUACAAAAAAAUUAGGAAAUUGUAAGUGCGGUGAUUAUUAUGGAGUAGUUGCCACAUGGAGAUUAAAAGAAAAAUGUGAACUAGGCAGGUACUUACUGUUUAAAGCUUUCCAAAUUCUUCUAGUGGAAGGAGAAAGACAAAUUUUUCCUGAUAAUCUUUAGGAAUAGUUUAUAACGUGAAUUGUUUCAAAAUUAUUAAUAUGUAUAAGCAUUUGCUUAGAAAUAUUUGGAAAUUGAAAGAUGUUUUAUCUGAAUAUUUUUUAUACAAAAGAGCUAUUAAAGAGUUUAUAUUUGAAAAGACUGAUAAUAGUUAUGACAAGGUACAAAUAUAAUUAGAUAGUGUAUACUAUAUUUGGACAAUUGUAUGAAUCCUUAGAAGUUUCUAAUAUCUUAUCUUGUAGAGUUGACUCAACAUAAUAGACAGACACUUAUGUUGUAGAAUGUACUUAAUUGCAAAACAAAAGUACAAUUGCUACAGAAUUAAAUCUAUAAUUUACCACAAUAAUAUUUACAAUUAAAAUUAGAGAUAUUAAAUUUUGUAAAUUAGAAUAUUUCAGUAUUGAACUCAAAAUGUAGUAAAAAUUAUGAUUUAAAAUGAUGUUAUGCUUCAUCAAAUAUAAUAUAAUAAAUAUAUAUGUUUAUUAAACCUUCUGUUUUGCAAUAUUUGAGGUAAGAUAUAAAUUUCAUUCGAAUAUAAGUUAAAAUAUACAAAUUUUUAUUUGUUAUGAAAGUAUUUAUUUAGGUGUCAAUAUUUAUAAACAAGCGAAUUUAAUUCUACAUGAGCAAGGCCAUUCCUUGCCACUAGUGUCAAAUGUUUAUUAUAUUAUAAUUAACAAUUGUUAUUAAGAAAUCACAAGAGAUAGAGUAUAUGAUAGAGUAUAUACAAUAUAUUAUUAUGAAAUAACAUACAGAGUUAUAUGAGAACAUUAGACAAUUUAUUCAAAUUUUGGUAAAAUUAUUAUAAUAUAUCGAAAUUUUAAAUAUAAAAAAAUGAUAAACUAUUUUAUUUUUUUACAAAUAUGUGACAUAAAUCAUUUUUUAUUUGUGAUAUUUCUCAUCAUUGUGAUAUUUCAUUUUUCUAAUGAUCCAUUGAUUAGUGUAAAUUUUUUUAAUUUAAAAUUUUAUAUGUUAUUUUUAAUUAGUUUGCAAAUCAAAUGAAGAUAUCAACUCAGCUACGACUACGCCAUCUUACUAAAAGUAUACCAAUGAACAAUGUUUGCAAUUUAUAGAAAAAGCAGACUUCAGGAACUCAGUAAUCCGCGUGCACUGUGCUAUAGGACACGUGUUAAGACUGAGUAAAGUCUAACUCUGUGUGUGUGUGUGUGUGUGUUUAUAUGUAUGUAUGCAUGUGUGGUGUGUGUGUGUGUGUUUAGAUACACAUCAACAACAAAAAGAAUAAAUUUUCAUCUUCUAAAAACCUUCAAUUGUGAUAGUUUUGAAAUGUGGUUAUAAUUUUAAUAUAACAAUUACUCCAAAAUGCAGUUUACAGAGGUAAACUUGAUGAGACGUAAACAAAAGCCAACAAAUUUAUUCAUUUACCCAUUGUUGUAUCAUGUCUGCAAUAAUUUUGGAAGAAAUAUUUUCCAUAAUUAAAAUUGUGUGGUUUAUAGAAAAUAACAUCUACGAAUUUACUAUUGCUUGAACAAAAGACGUUAAUUCAUUCCUCUAAGUUCUACGAAAUCCAGUUCUAGCAUAAUCCAUACAAUCGCAUGCAUGUAGUCAAUAUAUCUUUACUGGAAUAUAUACCGAUGCGAAAACAGCCCGACACAAAUAACAUUUUAUAAAAAAAAAGU
Molecule: RNA transcript, 5016 nt
Organism: Phymastichus coffea
Lineage: Eukaryota; Metazoa; Arthropoda; Insecta; Hymenoptera; Eulophidae
Exons: 7
Source: RefSeq, a predicted model, not a curated record